Molecule: long non-coding RNA, 1788 nt
Filed under: Apteryx haastii (Great spotted kiwi)
Lineage: Eukaryota; Metazoa; Chordata; Aves; Apterygiformes; Apterygidae
Description: lncRNA (ENSAHAG00000018773.1)
Source: RNAcentral
AGAAAGGAAGCAGAAACCACGUCUGAGCAAGCGCCGCGCUGCCGCCUUGCUGCUUCUGAGCACGCAGAGUCUGGGGACGAGGACAGGGCCCCAUGUCCUGCUCCUCAGUGUAGGACCGAUCCCCCCCAGUUCCCGAGACAGAUCUGCUGAGCACRCGAAGAGCCAGGACAUGGCACCCCACGGCCUCCGACCUGCCAUGUGCCAGCAACCGGGCAGGGGAGGAGCAGAGCCAUGCUGUUUGCCACCCYGUGAACCUGGGGAACGGGCUGGUAAUGGGACCGUGCGCGAGACCCAGCCUGCCGCGGUGGCAGGGUCGUGUGGGCUGUGCGAGCGGGGCUGCUGGGUUCCCUUGUGCCGGGAACUCCUGGGUCCCAGCCUUGCCUGGGGCUCACCCAGGCUGCGGCCUGGGUAGCGUCUCUGGGGAUACUGCCAGGAAGUGACACUUUCCAUUUCGUGUAACACCCAGCUGCCGAAAGGAGGGGGCUGCUGCUUCGCUGAUGGAGUACACAGCGAGAGACCAAGAGAUGGAAGAGAGGGUCACGUACGCAGAUCUGCACUUCGCCCCCACACCAGGUAAUGGCAUGCUGGUGCCCCCCUGCCCUGCUCGCCCUCCUAGCACCCGCAUCUCUCCCCGCCACUUCCCCUUGCCCUCCUGCAGCUCUCUCUUCUCUGCAGGGCUGUUUUCCCCCAGCAGUACUCCCACACCACUCACUCUUUUCAGGUAUCUGCUUCUGCACCUCUGCCAAACAGCUCCUCUCCAGCCGCCUGGCAGACUGCCUGCGCUGGGGGUGAGAGGCAGGAGGGGUUCAAGGGCAGGGGACACUCRCUGCCCACCUGAUGCGUGGCACAGGCACUCCUGCUCCCCCCAUGCCAAGUGCCAUCUGCAGAGGGACAACUUCUAGCAGAGUUUGGGUGCUGCAGCUGGGCUCUCCCUUCAGCCCACACCAGUGCUGCAGUUGUCCUGGGGGACAUCAUCUGGAGGAGACCAAUGUCUGCAUAGCUUCAGGCUCCCCAGAUGCCCUCCUGAGACCUGCCCAGGGUGCACAGACCUUUCCUGGCGUGGGGGAUCCUUGCUGCUCUCCCGCAGAGCCCUCAGGACCCAGGUUAUCUCUUUUUCUCAGCUCCUCAGCGAAUGAAGCAGCAGCCCUGGCGCUGUGCAGCCCUCAGCCUGGCUCUCCUUUGCCUGCUGCUCCUGCUGGCACAAAUUGUUCUCGUUGGCUUGAGCUUCCACCUUUUAGGGCAACUGGCAGGCUGCACCCAUGGUCCCUGGAGCACGGAGGAGACCCUCAGCUAUGGGCAACAGACUCUGCCAGGGCAAUGCCAGUUCUGCCCAGCUGGCUGGCUCUGGGACGCAGGGCAGUGCUACUACUUCUCUUCUGCCAAAAAGACCUGGGAGCAGAGCAAAGAGGACUGCUGUUCCAGAGAGGCACAGCUGGUCACCAUCCGAGCCAAUGCCACCCUGGCUCUUCCCAAUCCAGCGUUUCACCAACUCUUUCCUGUCCUGCGGGAGGGUGUCUCGCUCAGGCCUGUCUGGCGGCCUGUGCAGGGAAGCCCACAGCUGGAUCUGUGAGAAGAGUGCUGCCACCCUGCAGUGGGUCCAGUCCGCACCCCCCGCCUUCCUCUGGGGGAAUACCACCUACACCUGUGCGAGGCACUGGUAACCCGGGCCCAGGUCCUGCAGGGACCUCCAGCCUGGCCACCCUGGCAGCACAGGGACACCGUCGCUGCCRUUGCACCCUGCCUGACCUGUCCUCCCGUGCGCUGGCGUCCCAGACUGCAGUCUCCUAA